Molecule: non-coding RNA, 395 nt
Organism: Mobula hypostoma (lesser devil ray)
Lineage: Eukaryota; Metazoa; Chordata; Chondrichthyes; Myliobatiformes; Myliobatidae
Source: the annotation of a RefSeq genome assembly
CUUCAAAGAUGGCGUGGCUGUUGUUCGUCGCCGCGCUCUCGCUGAGUCUCGAGGCGUCCCAGGCGAGUGACAUCUCUCAGCAGCCCGUUUCGCUCAGCGUCAGCGAGGGCAAAACGGCCGCGAUUGCCUGUCUCCAGCAGGGGACGGUCCGGAGUUACGUGCUUUGGUACCGACAGUCGCCCGCCGACGGUUUCGCGCUGAUCGGGUCUGUCUACCGAAACAACGAGCCCCAGUACGAGGACGGUUUCCGGAGCGGGUUCGCCAUCACCUCCGCGAAGGACAAUAAAGAGUCCUCCCUGGAGAUCGAGAGCGUUGGCGAGAAGGACGCGGCGAUGUACUUCUGCGCUGCCAAAGAUUCGGCACGGCGUUGAGGAGCGAAUCAUUGCCUGAGCAAA